This 548-nucleotide ribosomal RNA is filed under the name uncultured Nitrososphaerota archaeon. RNAcentral's name for it is "uncultured thaumarchaeote partial 16S ribosomal RNA". Lineage: Archaea; Thermoproteati; Nitrososphaerota. The record is from RNAcentral.
UACAACGCACUACCUGUUCAUUGUGGUCGUUGCUGUCAACAGCACACGGCUCACCAUCAACGCAGGGGCCUACAUCUGCUACACAGACUGGGCGUGGACGUCCUUCGUUGUAUUCUCGGUGUCGGCUGCAAGGAUGCGAGCAAUAGGGUCGAGAUAAGGCCGGGUAUUUACAGUCGCUACAGCCACUGCACCCUAUUCCACCACUAUGCUGACCAUAUCAACACUGUGUGCAUAGGGCGCAUGGUUUGAACUUCGAUAGUAUCACGACUUUGCGCCGGGCAAAAAGACGCAGCGAGCACGCUGCCAUACUGAUUGGCGGUACGAUGGUUGGCCUAUCCUUCCCGCUGUUCAACGUGGUCAACCUGUUGCUUGUAAGGGACCCACUCGAGAUAGCCUUCAAGUUACCGAGACCGACUCUGCCCGCGUACAUGACGCCUAUAGAGCAUCAGGUAGGGAAGUUCUAAGACUCGCCUGUCGCCCUGGGGUCAGGUGCCGGUGCAGUGCUAACGGUGCCCAACGCAGCGUUGGGUGCAAAACUAAACACGUGG